GACGAACGCUGGCGGCGUGCUUAACACAUGCAAGUCGAACGAAGAGCGAUGGAAGCUUGCUUCUAUCAAUCUUAGUGGCGAACGGGUGAGUAACGCGUAAUCAACCUGCCCUUCAGAUGGGGACAACAGUUGGAAACGACUGCUAAUACCGCAUACGAUCUAAUCUCGGCAUCGAGGAUAGAUGAAAGGUGGCCUCUACAUGUAAGCUAUCACUGAAGGAGGGGAUUGCGUCUGAUUAGCUAGUUGGAGGGGUAACGGCCCACCAAGGCGAGGAUCAGUAGCCGGUCUGAGAGGAUGAACGGCCACAUUGGGACUGAGACACGGCCCCGACUCCUAGGGGAGGCAGCAGUGGGGAAUCUUCCGCAAUGGACGAAAGUCUGACGGAGCAACGCCGCGUGAGUGAUGACGGCCUUCGGGUUGUAAAGCUCUGUUAAUCGGGACGAAAGGCCUUCUUGCGAAUAGUGAGAAGGAUUGACGGUACCGGAAUAGAAAGCCACGGCUAACUACGUG
This 510-nucleotide ribosomal RNA is filed under the name uncultured bacterium. Its description in RNAcentral is "partial 16S ribosomal RNA". It matches the Rfam family "Bacterial small subunit ribosomal RNA", at positions 28 to 507 of the family's 1533-position model. The record is from RNAcentral.